AACGCACAUUGCGCCCCCUGGCAUUCCGGGGGGCACGCCUGUCCGAGCGCCAUCGAAGAAACCUCGAGCCCAGGCUCGCUGUUGGGCGCCGCGCUCGAGGGCGCGCGCCCCGAAACCGUCGGCGGCCCCGCCGGCCCCGGACGCACCGCGCCUAACGGCCCGCGUCGGGAGGCCCGCGGAGAGGCCCGCCUCGCAACCACACCCAGAUGGAAGGCCUCGGAUCAGGCGGGGUUACCCGCUGAACUUAA
This 248-nucleotide unclassified non-coding RNA is filed under the name uncultured fungus. Its description in RNAcentral is "partial contains 5.8S ribosomal RNA, internal transcribed spacer 2, and large subunit ribosomal RNA". Lineage: Eukaryota; Fungi. The record is from RNAcentral.